GAGCCAUUUUUGUUGUGGGCAAAGCCGUCCCGCCUCAGGUGAUUCCUGAUGGGGCUAAUUUCUAGACUUUGCGAUCUUUAAGAACCCCGCGUUUGCAAGGCAUCAUGUAAGUCUAUUAAACAAGACAGUAUUUCACAGGAUAUCAGAGUACCUAACAGUGUGUGAUACAGUCUUUAAAAAAAAGGUUUAGAAUGCCCUAGAAUGGGCAUUUAUGACAACUCCUGGAUGCUACAGCUGCUGCUCCUACUCAGGAUCACACUGGCCAAGGAGAUUAGUCCUUUGUUUUCACUACUGGAAUGUAUGUGGGACAGUAGGAUAUUUUUCAAACAGAAAUGUUAGCUGAAAUACAUACUUGUAAUGAGAUGUUGCACGUCUCAGCUCAGGUGUAAAAAUGUAGCAGUCACAUGAGUGGUGAAGAAUGUCAACCCUUGUCUGUGUUCUUGGGUCACAUUUUCCAAUACAAAACAGUUGAGCUUACAGCACCAGUCUGAACUUAAGUAUCAGCACCAUCACGUCCACUUCAGUGGUUCAAGUGGUUUAAGACUCAAAGCUUUGCCUCACAGUGCCUGGCCUCUAUGAGUAAUCAAAUAGUACUACACUAUUUGAUUAUUAAAAAGUUCCUGAUUUCUUAAUAUUUUUCAGACUUUAGCUUUUGGGGUGCCUAAGAGAAGUUAGAGGUUUUGAACCUAGCCUGGGCAUAGAUCUUAUUUUAAAAUUUUUAAAGCUUUUGUGUAUCUGGCUGAGUGUGGGUGUAGAGGCCAGAUGUGGAUGUCAGAUCAACUGGAACAGGCUUCUGUAAACCAGUACCACUGUGGGCACUGGGGACUGAACCAGGGGCUUCUGCAAGAGCAACAAGUGUUCUGAUUUUAAAACCUUCUAUCAAGCCUGCUGAAUUGUGAUGAAAUAUAGAAACAGUGGUAAGAGAAAAAUAAAGCAACCACCAUACAUGAGACUCUUUGGUUUUGGUGCGGUGAAGAGGGUAAAGAGGUAGAGGAUGGGUGUCUUGCAUGUGUGAGAGUCUUUACACACAAAAUUUGUUGCCUUUGAGGUUAUAUCAGAAGCAAGUCUCUUUCACUACCCCCUGCACCCUCUCCCCAGUACAGUAUAGGGGACAUAGUUUGGUACUGAAGAAAAUAACUUAAGCUGAAUUAAGUAACUUGGGAAUGUAUCUAUAUACUUAAGAACAUGUUUUUAAGACAUAUAGCAGCUGUGUACAGUAUAGUACACAGUGGUCUCUCUCCACUGGUAGUGGUUGGUAAGAAUAUAUAACAUAAAAAACAUGGGAUACAUGUGUGUUUUCCAAAGGAAAAGUUAAAAAAAAAAAAAAAAA
Arvicanthis niloticus (Nile rat) is the source of this 1330-nucleotide long non-coding RNA. RefSeq lists it as uncharacterized. NCBI's taxonomy places the organism in Eukaryota, Metazoa, Chordata, Mammalia, Rodentia, Muridae. The record is from RefSeq and is a predicted model, not a curated record.